Gasterosteus aculeatus aculeatus (three-spined stickleback) is the source of this 700-nucleotide non-coding RNA. The record is from RefSeq and is a predicted model, not a curated record. NCBI's taxonomy places the organism in Eukaryota, Metazoa, Chordata, Actinopteri, Perciformes, Gasterosteidae.
GAAGCCCAGAACGAGAUGGGACGUAGUACCUCCACCUUACGUCUGAUUACUGAGUCUGGUGUUGUUAGACCAACAAUGAUAAUUUACAUUACCAGGUGGACUCUGGUCUUUGUGAAUCCGAUUGUUCUGCUUGUCUUUCGUCUGUGGAUGAGGAAGAAGAAAGCUGUGAGCUCCACCACUGAACCACAUGAGUCCAGAGAGGCUGUGGAGGUAAGACAUUUGUCCUCAAAGACAGAACUCACCAAAGGGUCAUCGUCUGUUGUUAUUAAUUCAUGAAGAUAAUUCAUAAGUAACUUUAUCACUAACAUCUUUCUCCUUUUGAACCACCAAUAUUUAUUUACCACGUUUACUGCAAAUGCCCUUAAAAUCCAAAGAGCGAUUUAAAGGGACAAAGAGUCGUAUUCGGUUCAGCAUUGAGAAGCAGCUUCUCUCAGAGUCUUGCUGCAGCAAACCACACUGCAUGUUCUCCUGCAGGUUUAAUGUUAUUGUUGGAAUGCUUUAUAUGAACUUUAUUCCUUCCCCUUAACAUUUGUUGGAAUGCUUUAUAUGAGCUUUAUUCCUUUCUUUAAUAUUUGUUGGAAUGCUUCAUAUGAGCUUAAUUCCUUCCUUUAAUAUUUGUUGGAAUGCUUUAUAUGAGCUUUAUUUCUUUCUUUGAUGUUUGUUGGAAUGCUUUAUAUGAGCUUUAUUCCCUUCUUUGAUA